This 520-nucleotide ribosomal RNA is filed under the name uncultured Tissierellia bacterium. RNAcentral describes it as "bacterial SSU rRNA". It matches the Rfam family "Bacterial small subunit ribosomal RNA", at positions 37 to 537 of the family's 1533-position model. The record is from RNAcentral. Lineage: Bacteria; Bacillati; Bacillota; Tissierellia.
GACGAACGCUGGCGGCGUGCCUAACACAUGCAAGUCGAGCGGGGGACUUAUGACGGAACACUUCGGUGUGAAGAUAUAAGUAGCCUAGCGGCAGACGGGUGAGUAACGCGUGAGAAACCUGCCCUUCACAAGGGAAUAGCCUCGGGAAACCGGGAUUAAUACCCUAUGAAACUUAAUGGUCGCAUGACUAAUAAGUUAAAGCGUAAAGCGGUGAAGGAUGGUCUCGCGUCCCAUUAGCUAGUUGGUGAGAUUACAGCCCACCAAGGCGACGAUGGGUAGCCGGCCUGAGAGGGUGAACGGCCACACCGGAACUGAGACACGGUCCAGACUCCUACGGGAGGCAGCAGUGGGGAAUCUUGCACAAUGGAGGGAACUCUGAUGCAGCGACGCCGCGUGAACGAUGAAGGUUUUCGGAUUCGUAAAGUUCUGUUCUAAGGGAAGAUAAUGACGGUACCUUAGAAGAAACGCCCCGGCUAACUACGUGCCAGCCGCCGCCGUAACACCUAGACUGCCAAGGCAC